AGCGGCAGACGGGUGAGUAACGCGUGGGAAUCUACCUUUUGCUACGGAAUAACUCAGGGAAACUUGUGCUAAUACCGUAUGUGCCCUUCGGGGGAAAGAUUUAUCGGCAAAGGAUGAGCCCGCGUUGGAUUAGCUAGUUGGUGAGGUAAAGGCUCACCAAGGCGACGAUCCAUAGCUGGUCUGAGAGGAUGAUCAGCCACACUGGGACUGAGACACGGCCCAGACUCCUACGGGAGGCAGCAGUGGGGAAUAUUGGACAAUGGGCGCAAGCCUGAUCCAGCCAUGCCGCGUGAGUGAUGAAGGCCCUAGGGUUGUAAAGCUCUUUCAACGGUGAAGAUAAUGACGGUAACCGUAGAAGAAGCCCCGGCUAACUUCGUGCCAGCAGCCGCGGUAAUACGAAGGGGGCUAGCGUUGUUCGGAAUUACUGGGCGUAAAGCGCACGUAGGCGGAUCGAUCAGUUAGGGGUGAAAUCCCAGGGCUCAACCCUGGAACUGCCUCUAAUACUGUCGAUCUCGAGUUCGAGAGAGGUGAGUGGAAUUCCGAGUGUAGAGGUGAAAUUCGUAGAUAUUCGGAGGAACACCAGUGGCGAAGGCGGCUCACUGGCUCGAUACUGACGCUGA
This 620-nucleotide ribosomal RNA is filed under the name Aquamicrobium lusatiense. RNAcentral describes it as "bacterial SSU rRNA". It matches the Rfam family "Bacterial small subunit ribosomal RNA", at positions 94 to 749 of the family's 1533-position model. RNAcentral also lists the same sequence under 1 other name. Lineage: Bacteria; Pseudomonadati; Pseudomonadota; Alphaproteobacteria; Hyphomicrobiales; Phyllobacteriaceae. The record is from RNAcentral.